RNAcentral lists this ribosomal RNA (253 nucleotides) under uncultured bacterium. RNAcentral describes it as "partial 16S ribosomal RNA". It matches the Rfam family "Bacterial small subunit ribosomal RNA", at positions 524 to 776 of the family's 1533-position model. The record is from RNAcentral.
UACGUGGGGGGCAAGCGUUGUUCGGAAUUACUGGGCGUAAAGGGCUCGUAGGCGGUCAACUAAGUCAGACGUGAAAUCCCUCGGCUUAACCGGGGAACUGCGCCUGAUACUGGAUGGCUUGAGUUUGGGAGAGGGACGCGGAAUUCCAGGUGUAGCGGUGAAAUGCGCAGAUAUCAGGAGGAACACCGGUGGCGAAGGCGGGUCUCUGGGCCGAUACUGACGCUGAGGAGCGAAAGCGUGGGGAGCAAACAGG